Molecule: non-coding RNA, 321 nt
Organism: Pelobates cultripes (western spadefoot toad)
Lineage: Eukaryota; Metazoa; Chordata; Amphibia; Anura; Pelobatidae
Source: the annotation of a GenBank genome assembly
CCCACUUUAAAUAUGGCGGUAGUAAUAGUGCUACUAGUGUUCAGGGAAGACUGAGAACCUAGAAGUGAUAUCAGUAUUUGUAAAUCAGCUGAUCAAGAAGUCAGAGAAACCUGGAAGUGACAUUAACAUAUACAACGUCAGUUGUUGCUUGUUCUGUGGUGUGAAGCGCCAAUCCACCAAUUUUUCCUGUUGUGUUUGUACAUUAAAACAGUCAUACCUCCCAAGCGUCAUGUAUCUGGUGGAGGUGGUGCUGAAGGUAAACUCACAGGAUAUAACUAUCAGAAAUCACAUACCCAAUGCUAAUCUCUUGCUUUCAUCUUU